Molecule: ribosomal RNA, 482 nt
Filed under: uncultured organism
Description: bacterial SSU rRNA
Rfam family: Bacterial small subunit ribosomal RNA
Source: RNAcentral
AUUGAACGCUGGCGGCAUGCCUUACACAUGCAAGUCGAACGGUAACAGCACUUCGGUGGCUGACGAGUGGCGAACGGGUGAGUAAUACAUCGGAACGUGCCCGAGAGUGGGGGAUAACGCAGCGAAAGCUGUGCUAAUACCGCAUACGAUCUACGGAUGAAAGCAGGGGACCGCAAGGCCUUGCGCUCAUGGAGCGGCCGAUGGCAGAUUAGGUAGUUGGUGGGAUAAAAGCUUACCAAGCCGACGAUCUGUAGCUGGUCUGAGAGGACGACCAGCCACACUGGGACUGAGACACGGCCCAGACUCCUACGGGAGGCAGCAGUGGGGAAUUUUGGACAAUGGGGGAAACCCUGAUCCAGCCAUGCCGCGUGCAGGAUGAAGGCCUUCGGGUUGUAAACUGCUUUUGUACGGAACGAAAAGGUCUUUUCUAAUAAAGAAGGCUCAUGACGGUACCGUAAGAAUAAGCACCGGCUAACUACGUG